AUGCCGAACUUUGUCAAGCAAUAUGAAAAAAUCCAGAACCACAUCCUUGCCAAGGAAGGCUGCAAUGAUUACAGGACAGAACACCUUGAGAUUGAGUUGUGGUCCAACUUCCCAAUAGAGAAGCAAGCUUACAAAACCUAUACUAGGGACCUUUACCGCAAGUUCAGAGAAGAGUUUGAGCUGAUUGGACGUUAUAAUGCAUUCCAAGUCGGUGCUGAUAUAUUUGAGCUCAGACCGAACCAGGAAUUUGUUGCCAAAUAUGGUUCUCGAAACUACUUGGUGCAUGCAAGGGUGGAGGAGGGUCCUAUUUGUGUGAGUGCUGUAAAAUGGACAAGGACGGCAUCCUCUGUUGCCACAUCCUCAAGGUGUUCACCCAUAUUGGAGUUGAUGUCAUACCGGAAAGGUACCUGCUAA
RNAcentral lists this ribosomal RNA (414 nucleotides) under Triticum aestivum (bread wheat). RNAcentral's name for it is "partial small subunit ribosomal RNA". Lineage: Eukaryota; Viridiplantae; Streptophyta; Magnoliopsida; Poales; Poaceae. The record is from RNAcentral.